AAAGUCGUAACAAGGUCUCCGUUGGUGAACCAGCGGAGGGAUCAUUACCGAGUUUGCUUUUCUAGCUCGAAACCCACUGUGAACAUACCUCUUAUAUCGUUGCUUCGGCGGCAGUUCCCCGAUACUCCUCCCUCUUCUGGGAGGGGCUUCGAGGUCCAGCCGUCGGAGGGACGCAACCAAAAACUCUUUCUUACUUUCAAGUAUUAUCUGAGUCGAUAUUUUAAUUAUCAAAACUUUCAGCAACGGAUCUCUUGGUUCUG
RNAcentral lists this unclassified non-coding RNA (260 nucleotides) under Ascomycota sp. RNAcentral describes it as "partial contains small subunit ribosomal RNA, internal transcribed spacer 1, and 5.8S ribosomal RNA". The stretch from base 1 to 47 matches the Rfam family "Eukaryotic small subunit ribosomal RNA", at positions 1785 to 1831 of the family's 1831-position model. Lineage: Eukaryota; Fungi; Ascomycota. The record is from RNAcentral.